RNAcentral lists this ribosomal RNA (254 nucleotides) under uncultured bacterium. RNAcentral's name for it is "partial 16S ribosomal RNA". It matches the Rfam family "Bacterial small subunit ribosomal RNA", at positions 524 to 776 of the family's 1533-position model. The record is from RNAcentral.
UACGGGGGGAGCAAGCGUUGUUCGGAUUUACUGGGCGUAAAGGGCGCGUAGGCGGCCAGCGCAAGUCAGUUGUGAAAUCUCCGGGCUUAACUCGGAACGGUCAACUGAUACUGCGCGGCUAGAGUGCAGAAGGGGCAACUGGAAUUCUCGGUGUAGCGGUGAAAUGCGCAGAUAUCAGGAGGAACACCGGUGGCGAAGGCGGUUCUCUGGGCCUUACCUGACGCUGAGGAGCGAAAGCGUGGGGAGCAAACAGG